RNAcentral lists this ribosomal RNA (520 nucleotides) under uncultured Chloroflexota bacterium. RNAcentral describes it as "bacterial SSU rRNA". It matches the Rfam family "Bacterial small subunit ribosomal RNA", at positions 107 to 647 of the family's 1533-position model. The record is from RNAcentral. Lineage: Bacteria; Bacillati; Chloroflexota.
UGAGUAACACGUUGGUGACCUGCCCCGAAGCGGGGGAUAACUCUGGGAAACCAGAGCUAAAACCCCAGAUGUUUAAGGGUUUAGACGCCUUAAACUAAAACUGCGGUGCUUCGGGAGGGGCCUGCGGGCUAUCAGCUAGUUGGUGGGGUAAAAGCCUACCAAGGCGAAGACGGCUAGGGGGCGUGAGAGCGUGACCCCCCACAAUGGAACUGAGAAACGGUCCAUACUCCUACGGGAGGCAGCAGUGAGGAAUAUUGAGCAAUGGGCGCAAGCCUGACUCAGCAACGCCGCGUGGAUGAUGACGGCCUUCGGGUUGUAAAAUCCUUUUCUGAGGGAAGAUAAUGACGGUACCUCAGGAAUAAGUUCCGGCUAACUACGUGCCAGCAGCCGCGGUAAAACGUAGGGGACAAGCGUUAUCCGGAUUUACUGGGCGUAAAGCGCAUGUAGGUGGCUUGACAAGUUGGACGUGAAAGCUCCCGGCUUAACUGGGAGAGGUCGUUCAAAACUGUCAGGCUUGAGG